This 1421-nucleotide ribosomal RNA is filed under the name uncultured organism. RNAcentral describes it as "16S ribosomal RNA". It matches the Rfam family "Bacterial small subunit ribosomal RNA". The record is from RNAcentral.
CUUACACAUGCAAGUCGAACGGAAAGGCCCUGCUUUUGUGGGGUGCUCGAGUGGCGAACGGGUGAGUAACACGUGAGUAACCUGCCCUUGACUUUGGGAUAACUUCAGGAAACUGGGGCUAAUACCGGAUAGGAGCUCCUGCUGCAUGGUGGGGGUUGGAAAGUUUCGGCGGUUGGGGAUGGACUCGCGGCUUAUCAGCUUGUUGGUGGGGUAGUGGCUUACCAAGGCUUUGACGGGUAGCCGGCCUGAGAGGGUGACCGGCCACAUUGGGACUGAGAUACGGCCCAGACUCCUACGGGAGGCAGCAGUGGGGAAUAUUGCACAAUGGGCGGAAGCCUGAUGCAGCAACGCCGCGUGCGGGAUGACGGCCUUCGGGUUGUAAACCGCUUUCGCCUGUGACGAAGCGUGAGUGACGGUAAUGGGUAAAGAAGCACCGGCUAACUACGUGCCAGCAGCCGCGGUGAUACGUAGGGUGCGAGCGUUGUCCGGAUUUAUUGGGCGUAAAGGGCUCGUAGGUGGUUGAUCGCGUCGGAAGUGUAAUCUUGGGGCUUAACCCUGAGCGUGCUUUCGAUACGGGUUGACUUGAGGAAGGUAGGGGAGAAUGGAAUUCCUGGUGGAGCGGUGGAAUGCGCAGAUAUCAGGAGGAACACCAGUGGCGAAGGCGGUUCUCUGGGCCUUUCCUGACGCUGAGGAGCGAAAGCGUGGGGAGCGAACAGGCUUAGAUACCCUGGUAGUCCACGCUGUAAACGGUGGGUACUAGGUGUGGGGUCCAUUCCACGGGUUCCGUGCCGUAGCUAACGCUUUAAGUACCCCGCCUGGGGAGUACGGCCGCAAGGCUAAAACUCAAAGGAAUUGACGGGGCCCCGCACAAGCGGCGGAGCAUGCGGAUUAAUUCGAUGCAACGCGUAGAACCUUACCUGGGUUUGACAUGGAUCGGGAGUGCUCAGAGAUGGGUGUGCCUCUUUUGGGGUCGGUUCACAGGUGGUGCAUGGCUGUCGUCAGCUCGUGUCGUGAGAUGUUGGGUUAAGUCCCGCAACGAGCGCAACCCUUGUUCACUGUUGCCAGCACGUUAUGGUGGGGACUCAGUGGAGACCGCCGGGGUCAACUCGGAGGAAGGUGGGGAUGACGUCAAGUCAUCAUGCCCCUUAUGUCCAGGGCUUCACGCAUGCUACAAUGGCUGGUACAGAGAGUGGCGAGCCUGUGAGGGUGAGCGAAUCUCGGAAAGCCGGUCUCAGUUCGGAUUGGGGUCUGCAACUCGACCUCAUGAAGUCGGAGUCGCUAGUAAUCGCAGAUCAGCAACGCUGCGGUGAAUACGUUCCCGGGGCUUGUACACACCGCCCGUCAAGUCAUGAAAGUUGGUAACACCCGAAGCCGGUGGCCUAACCGUUGUGGGGGAGCCGUCGAAGGUGGGACUGGUGAUU